RNAcentral lists this ribosomal RNA (686 nucleotides) under Bacillus thuringiensis. RNAcentral's name for it is "bacterial SSU rRNA". It matches the Rfam family "Bacterial small subunit ribosomal RNA", at positions 78 to 747 of the family's 1533-position model. Lineage: Bacteria; Bacillati; Bacillota; Bacilli; Caryophanales; Bacillaceae. The record is from RNAcentral.
GCUUGCUCUUAUGAAGUUAGCGGCGGACGGGUGAGUAACACGUGGGUAACCUGCCCAUAAGACUGGGAUAACUCCGGGAAACCGGGGCUAAUACCGGAUAACAUUUUGAACCGCAUGGUUCGAAAUUGAAAGGCGGCUUCGGCUGUCACUUAUGGAUGGACCCGCGUCGCAUUAGCUAGUUGGUGAGGUAACGGCUCACCAAGGCAACGAUGCGUAGCCGACCUGAGAGGGUGAUCGGCCACACUGGGACUGAGACACGGCCCAGACUCCUACGGGAGGCAGCAGUAGGGAAUCUUCCGCAAUGGACGAAAGUCUGACGGAGCAACGCCGCGUGAGUGAUGAAGGCUUUCGGGUCGUAAAACUCUGUUGUUAGGGAAGAACAAGUGCUAGUUGAAUAAGCUGGCACCUUGACGGUACCUAACCAGAAAGCCACGGCUAACUACGUGCCAGCAGCCGCGGUAAUACGUAGGUGGCAAGCGUUAUCCGGAAUUAUUGGGCGUAAAGCGCGCGCAGGUGGUUUCUUAAGUCUGAUGUGAAAGCCCACGGCUCAACCGUGGAGGGUCAUUGGAAACUGGGAGACUUGAGUGCAGAAGAGGAAAGUGGAAUUCCAUGUGUAGCGGUGAAAUGCGUAGAGAUAUGGAGGAACACCAGUGGCGAAGGCGACUUUCUGGUCUGUAACUGACACU